Molecule: long non-coding RNA, 496 nt
Organism: Zingiber officinale
Lineage: Eukaryota; Viridiplantae; Streptophyta; Magnoliopsida; Zingiberales; Zingiberaceae
Exons: 2
Source: RefSeq, a predicted model, not a curated record
ACCUCUCGCCCGAUUCCUCACGGUUUCCCCUAAAAACGUCUCCUCUCCUCUCAAUCUCCGCCGCAUUGAACGGGAAUCACCACCGGCCUUUGGCACCGGUCAGCCGCCAUCCCACGCCGGCGAGUCCUCUGGGGGGUGUCGCAAUCGGACGCGGAGGUCUUCGAUCUUUUCACUGGCGACACGAAACGGCUGGAUGAGGGCUUCCGGCGGUAGAACGAGGGCGGGAAUGACAAGGGAAAGGCAAGUACAUCCUCUAUGAUGAUAUGGGAUCGGUGAGGUAAGAAUGCCUCCCAGGAUAUGCGGACGGAGUAGGCGAGGAGACGAGAUGGACGCAUGACACUGUUCGGGCAUUUUAGGAGUGCAAAACAUACUUGUUCUAUUGUGAGAGGUUCUUCAUUUGAAUAAGGAGAUGUUUGAGGAUUCAUUGCCCCUUAUUAUUAAGCUCUUGUUGAGAUGUUGUCAUUUACACUAGUUAAGAUAAUUUAUUUCGUAGGAA